Molecule: small nucleolar RNA, 140 nt
Organism: Zingiber officinale
Lineage: Eukaryota; Viridiplantae; Streptophyta; Magnoliopsida; Zingiberales; Zingiberaceae
Product: small nucleolar RNA snoR138
Exons: 1
Source: RefSeq, a predicted model, not a curated record
AAUGCCUCUUGAAUAACUGGAUGCAAGAAUUGCAAUGGUGUGCAUACAGUUCAGACGGUGGCAUAGAACAACAUGAAUCAUUGUUAGUGAAAGGAAUUUUUUUAUUUAAUUGUUCCUCUCUUAGAUGGCUUCAGAUAUUU